AUUGAACGCUGGCGGAAUGCUUUACACAUGCAAGUCGAACGGCAGCACGGACUUCGGUCUGGUGGCGAGUGGCGAACGGGUGAGUAAUGUAUCGGAACGUGCCCAGUCGUGGGGGAUAACGUAGUGAAAAUUACGCUAAUACCGCAUACGAUCUAUGGAUGAAAGCGGGGGAUCGCAAGACCUCGCGCGAUUGGAGCGGCCGAUAUCAGAUUAGGUAGUUGGUGGGGUAUAGGCCCACCAAGCCAACGAUCUGUAGCUGGUCUGAGAGGACGACCAGCCACACUGGAACUGAGACACGGUCCAGACUCCUACGGGAGGCAGCAGUGGGGAAUUUUGGACAAUGGGCGGAAGCCUGAUCCAGCCAUUCCGCGUGCAGGAUGAAGGCCCUCGGGUUGUAAACUGCUUUUGUACAGAACGAAAAGGUUUCUACUAGUACUAGGAGCUCAUGACGGUACUGUAAGAAUAAGCACCGGCUAACUACGUGCCAGCCGCCGCAGUAA
This 500-nucleotide ribosomal RNA is filed under the name uncultured bacterium. Its description in RNAcentral is "partial 16S ribosomal RNA". It matches the Rfam family "Bacterial small subunit ribosomal RNA", at positions 30 to 523 of the family's 1533-position model. The record is from RNAcentral.